This 369-nucleotide ribosomal RNA is filed under the name uncultured bacterium. Its description in RNAcentral is "bacterial SSU rRNA". It matches the Rfam family "Bacterial small subunit ribosomal RNA", at positions 434 to 793 of the family's 1533-position model. The record is from RNAcentral.
CAGUAGGGAGGAAGGUAGUGUAGUUAACACCUGCAUUAUUUGACGUUACCUACAGAAGAAGCACCGGCUAACUCCGUGCCAGCAGCCGCGGUAAUACGGAGGGUGCGAGCGUUAAUCGGAAUUACUGGGCGUAAAGCGCAUGCAGGCGGCCUGUUAAGUCAGAUGUGAAAGACCCGGGGCGUUAACCUCGGAAUUGCAUUUGAAACUGGCAGGCUAGAGUCUUGUAGAGGGGGGUAGGAAGUUUCAGGUGUAGCGGUGAAAUGCGUAGAGAUCUGAAGGAAUACCAGUGGCGAAGGCGGCCCCCUCGGACAAAGACUGACGCUCAGAUGCGAAAGCGUGGGGAGCAAACAGGAUUAGAUACCCUGGUAG